AAUGAACGCUGGCGGCGCGCCUAACACAUGCAAGUCGAACAAGAAAUCUCGAGCUUGCUCGAGAGAGUAAAGUGGCGCACGGGUGAGUAACGCGUGGGUAACCUGUCCUUAAAUCUGGGAUAAUCCACCGAAAGGUGGCCUAAUACCGGAUACAGUCCUGAAAACCGUGGUUUUCAGGAUGAAAGCUGACCUCUUCUUGAAAGUUGGCGUUUAAGGAGGGGCCCGCGUGCCAUUAGCUUGUUGGUAGGGUAAAGGCCUACCAAGGCUACGAUGGUUAGCUGGUCUGAGAAGACGGCCAGCCACACUGGAACUGAAACACGGUCCAGACUCCUACGGGAGGCAGCAGUGAGGAAUCUUGCGCAAUGGGGGAAACCCUGACGCAGCGACGCCGCGUGAGUGAAGAAGGCCUUCGGGUCGUAAAGCUCUGUCAAGUAGGAAUAAAACUGUGGAUUUAAUAGAUACACGGUAUGAAGGUACUACUAAAGGAAGCACCGGCUAACUCCGUG
RNAcentral lists this ribosomal RNA (506 nucleotides) under uncultured bacterium. RNAcentral describes it as "bacterial SSU rRNA". It matches the Rfam family "Bacterial small subunit ribosomal RNA", at positions 29 to 507 of the family's 1533-position model. The record is from RNAcentral.